RNAcentral lists this ribosomal RNA (730 nucleotides) under uncultured bacterium. RNAcentral's name for it is "bacterial SSU rRNA". It matches the Rfam family "Bacterial small subunit ribosomal RNA", at positions 771 to 1501 of the family's 1533-position model. The record is from RNAcentral.
AACAGGAUUAGAUACCCUGGUAGUCCACGCUGUAAACGAUGUCGACUCGGAGGUUGUUCCCUUGAGGAGUGGCUUCCGGAGCUAACGCGUUAAGUCGACCGCCUGGGGAGUACGGCCGCAAGGUUAAAACUCAAAUGAAUUGACGGGGGCCCGCACAAGCGGUGGAGCAUGCGGUUUAAUUCGAUGCAACGCGAAGAACCUUACCUACUCUUGACAUCCAGAGAACUUAGCAGAGAUGCUUUGGUGCCUUCGGGAACUCUGAGACAGGUGCUGCAUGGCUGUCGUCAGCUCGUGUUGUGAAAUGUUGGGUUAAGUCCCGCAACGAGCGCAACCCUUAUCCUUUGUUGCCAGCGGUCCGGCCGGGAACUCAAAGGAGACUGCCAGUGAUAAACUGGAGGAAGGUGGGGAUGACGUCAAGUCAUCAUGGCCCUUACGAGUAGGGCUACACACGUGCUACAAUGGCAUAUACAAAGAGAAGCGACCUCGCGAGAGCAAGCGGACCUCAUAAAGUAUGUCGUAGUCCGGAUUGGAGUCUGCAACUCGCCUCCAUGAAGUCGGAAUCGCUAGUAAUCGUGGAUCAGAAUGCCACGGUGAAUACGUUCCCGGGCCUUGUACACACCGCCCGUCACACCAUGGGAGUGGGUUGCAAAAGAAGUAGGUAGCUUAACCUUCGGGAGGGCGCUUACCACUUUGUGAUUCAUGACUGGGGUGAAGUCGUAACAAGGUAACC